UUGUUUUUUUGUUACAAAGGCUGCAAAAAAUUAUAUAAACCUAACAUCAAAUGAAAUAUGUCAAUAGGUCACAGACGCACUAUAUUCUCUUAUUCUCAGCUGAUUCUCUAAACCUAGGGUAUCAACACAUCUUUGAUCUGUGACUAUGGAGAGAUAUACUAAAAGGAUUGGAGGUAAGGGUUGUUUUUAGAUGGAAGCGUAUGUGUAAGUUUCUCACCUUAACCAUAUUUAUCUUCUGGGUGGCUUGCCAUUAAAUCUUAUCCUAACCAUAUUUAUUUUAGUGAACUAAAAAAAUGACGAGGGUGGACUUAGAAUAUUUACUAUAACUACAUAUCAUGGCUACUUUAUGUGUUAGUAUAAUGUUCAUGACCAUGUUUUUAACUUGGUGAUAGUUGUCUAGUCGGUUCGUAUAAUGGUAUGGUAUGCAUCUUCCCACACUUUGAUGAAGCUGUAAUCGUCAGUCCUUUGACUACAGAAUUUAAGAAAGUGCUGAAUCCCCUAGUUCUAGAAACAGACUCCUCAUGUUGGGCUUUGGUUAUGAUUCUUUAAUGUACUUUUCCUAAUCUGCUAAAACAAUCUUAUAUUUGUUUUUCUAUUGAAUCAUAACCAAACCACAACAUAAAGAUCUAGUUUAUGGAUGUUGGAGGGAGAUGCAUACCAACCCAUUUGACGAACCGAUUAAUGACCGUCUCCUUCGUUAAGGCUAUGUUCACCAAUAUUAUAUUAUACUGACCAUAUAUCAACUAGUCGGCUACGUAGAUAUCACAACUCUUCUAAGUUCAACCUUGUCAUUGUUGCGAAUAAGAUGGGAUUUAAUGGAAAGUGGGCUGGAGAUCAAAGUCGACCAACACUUGCACACACUCUUGCAUCAGAUUAGAUACCACACAUUCAAUCUUUUUAACUCCUCAUGUUGGGCUUUGGUUAUGAUUCUUUAAUGUACUUUUCCUAAUCUGCUAAAACAAUAUUAUAUUUGUUUUUCUACUGAAUCAUAACCAAACCACAACAUAAAGAUCUAGUUUAUGGAUGUUGGAGGGAGAUGCAUACCAACCCAUUUGACGAACCGAUUAAUGACCGUCUCCUUCGUUAAGGCUAUGUUCACCAAUAUUAUAUUAUACUGACCAUAUAUCAACUAGUCG
Molecule: long non-coding RNA, 1136 nt
Filed under: Helianthus annuus (common sunflower)
Lineage: Eukaryota; Viridiplantae; Streptophyta; Magnoliopsida; Asterales; Asteraceae
Description: hypothetical non coding rna
Source: RNAcentral